AUUGAACGCUGGCGGCAUGCCUUACACAUGCAAGUCGAACGGCAGCACGGGAGCUUGCUCCUGGUGGCGAGUGGCGAAUGGGUGAGUAAUGCAUCGGAACGUGCCCUUCAGUGGGGGAUAACUACCCGAAAGGGUGGCUAAUACCGCAUAUUCUCUGAGGAGGAAAGUGGGGGACCGCAAGGCCUCGCGCUGAAGGAGCGGCCGAUGUCGGAUUAGCUAGUUGGUGGGGUAAAGGCCUACCAAGGCGACGAUCCGUAGCAGGUCUGAGAGGAUUAUCUGCCACACUGGGACUGAGGCACGGCCCAGACUCCCACGGGAGGCAGCAGUGGGGAAUUUUGGACAAUGGGGGCAACCCUGAUCCAGCCAUGCCGCGUGAGUGAAGAAGGCCUUCGGGUUGUAAAGCUCCUUCAGCAGGAACGAAACGGUAGUUACUAAUACUAGCUGCUAAUGACGGUACCUGAAGAAGAAGCACCGGCUAACUACGUGCCAGCAGCCGCCGUAA
This 502-nucleotide ribosomal RNA is filed under the name uncultured bacterium. RNAcentral describes it as "partial 16S ribosomal RNA". It matches the Rfam family "Bacterial small subunit ribosomal RNA", at positions 30 to 523 of the family's 1533-position model. The record is from RNAcentral.